UACAUCACAUAAUGUGCCUGGUUGAGAAAAGGCCUUAGGAAGAGCCAGAGAGUGCCAGAGAAUGGAAAGAGUAUGACACAUGCCUCGCUGAGGUCGGACAGCGCGUCAGCCUUACUUUCCCAGCUGACUAAGGACGCCUCCCACCAAGCUGCUUGCCUGCUGAAGCCUGUCUUGAAAACUGACAGUAGAUGGCUGUGACUACCCAGAGUUUUUUCCCCAGCAGUUAAUGAACACACAGCAGACGCAUGCAUGCAAUACCUUGGAAUCAUCCCAGAGGCUCCAGCUCAAUCAUCCGGCCUUGUGAGAGACGCCCACAUGCUGAAGAGCCUUUCUGCAGUUCUGCAUUGAACUCUUCAUGUGGCCCCAUCUAGUAAUGAGUGCGAGUGGUCAUGUGGCAAAGACACUUUGAGGAGCCCAUCCUGGGAUGAAAACCAUGGCCAGGGAAGAGGCCACAGCAGAGAGGCAGAGGUGCUGAAACCACUUCUGCAACCACAAGGACGAAAGUGCACCUCAUUGGUGAGGGAGCGCUGGUGCCUGCCCCCAUGUGCACACAGCAGCCCAUAGCUAAGGAGUCACAGAGCUCUUACCUCAAUCCUACCUGAUCAGUUCAGCCAGAACUGAUCUCUCAGCCAAGUCUGUACCCUGGCUAGAAUGUGAUCUUCAAAAUGUGAUCCUAACCUGUUUUGUUCACUCCUAUGACCCCAGCAUCCAGAACAAUGCUUGGCACCAUUGGUAGGCACUCAAAUACUAUACUUGGUACAUCAAAUAACAAAUUAACUCCUCCAUUCUAUGCCUUCUUGGAAGGGAUACAGGAUGGCAGCUGGGGAGAGGAGAGCACAGAAGAAAGAUGAGAACAGGAUCUUAGAAAACUUCCCUGGGGCAUAUUUGUAGGCCCUGACUUACCCAGAUCCUUGGAACAGGAAUUAUGGCUUAGGGAGCAGUAGGCAAGCCCUGAUCAUGGAGCCUGGCAGACCCAUUUAUUCCUUCAACAAGGAUUUAUGGAACACUUACCAGAUGCCAAGUCCUGCUGUAUUCUCAGCCUUGCCAGGCCUAGCUUUCAUACCCUUCUGGCCCUGUGAUUUCUGGCUAGCUGUUAGCCUCUCUCUCUGUUCAUUCAUUGGUAAAUACAUCACAGGGUUCUUGAGAAGAUUAAAUGACAUAAUAUAUAAAAUACUUGCUUGUGCA
This is a long non-coding RNA of Homo sapiens (human), 1185 nucleotides long. Lineage: Eukaryota; Metazoa; Chordata; Mammalia; Primates; Hominidae. The record is from Ensembl.